AUGACAGCUCAUCCAGCUCAGCCAUUUUACCAAGCUCCUCCAGCUUAUCAAGCUCCUCCAGGUUAUCAAGUUUAUCAAGCUCCUCCAGCUUAUCAAGCUCCUCCAGCUCAACCAGCACCAGCUCAACCAGCACCAGCUCAACCAGCUCAACCAACAACUCCAGUUCUACCGGCUGAACCAGCACCUGCACCAGCACCUGGACCUGCACCAGCUCCUGCACCAGCUCCAUUGACUCAAGAACCACAGGCUCCCAAAGAAAAGGCUGCCUCCACAAAGAAGGUUCCAAAGGAAAAGACCAAGGCAGCUGCCUCAAAGACGGAGUCUCCUAAAGGAAAAGUUAAGACGCAAGAACUUGCGGUGUCCAAAGGGAAGUUCAAACCAGCUGUUGUGAAGAAAGGAGCUGUUGUCGCUGAAGAAAAGACAAAACCUUCCACGACAAAGAAAGUUUCAGAGGUUGUUGUUUCCAAAGAUAAAGCUAAAACAACAACUGCCAAGAAAGAUCCUGUGGAAAAGGACAAGGACAAAAUAACUCCUACAAAGAAAGAGCCUGCAAUCUCCAAAGAAAAAGUCAAGGCAACCACUAGCCAGACAACCACACCCUCUACCAAGAAAGUUGUUUUCGAACCCGAGGCCCCUAAAGAGAAAGCCACUCCAAGAGUCCCCACUAUGAGAAAAGCCAAAGCUAAAGCCACACACUCUGUGAAGACGGCCCAGCCCACUAAACCACGUAAGUAAAUGUUCAAUCCCGAAGCAAGACAUCUCCUUUCUUUCGAUAAGCAGGUCACUUCCUGUCUUUUGUUUGUUUACCACGUGAAUCCAUGUAGGGCUUAAUGCAUUCCCUAUCUUGCCUAAAAGUGGAGCAGCCACAAAGGAGGGGUUUCAAGGGUUUGAAUAUAUCUGUCAUGCUAAAUAGCACCAUCAAAUGUGUUGUUUUUUUAUUAUUCAUUGUUUUAUUGAGGAGCUCCUUGUCCAUGGAUCAACCUUGUAAAUGUCAUAUUAUAAUCACUGGAUGCCCUCUUUUUCUCUAUUAUAGUGUUUUGUAAAGCGGCACAUUUUUUAUUGAAUAGCAUGCCACGCAUAAUGGUAUAGCAUUAUAGUGAUAGGUUAACUACAUGCCAGCAUCAGUUAACUUUCUCAUGCUUAUUAAACACAAAACACUAGUUGACAAGAAGAAAUUGGAUCUGUCAAACGCCAUGACUUUAGACAAAGGCCCGGCAGAAUUACUUUGGCUACUCGACAGCGCAGAUCUGUAUUGAAUAAGCGUUGCAUGAUUCUCUUUCACAUCAAUCAUUAUGUACAUUUCCCCGGAACAAACAACACAUGAAAAAUAAAACCAGUCUCUCGUCACUUGAUUAGAGAGGACGUUUAUGCAUGGCAAAACUGCAAUUACAGCCAUGUCACUUUGUGUUACAGUUUGAAGAGAAAAUGUUUGAGAUUAUAAGCAGAGUUUGAAGAACAGGUUAACUGGCAUUUGUAUCUUCUCAUAGAUAAAGCUGAGAAGGCUGAGAAUACUAAAAAGACUGAGAAGGCUGAGAAGACUGAGAAGACUAAGAAGACUGAGAAGGCUGAGAAGACUGAGAAGGCUGAGAAGACUAAAAAGACUGAGAAUACUGAGGAGACUGAGAAGACUAAAAAGGCUGAGAAGGCUGAGAAUACUGAGGAGACUGAGAAGGCUGAGAAGACUGAGAAUGCUGAGAAGUCUGAGAAGACUAAGAAGACUGAGAAGGCUGAGAAGAAAUCUGUGAAAGAGUCUCAAGGUAUGUUGGCUCAAAGUAUCAAAUGAUACCUUUCCUCAAACAGUUCAUACAUUAUUGAUGUAUUUUGAUGAUUUAUGUUUGAUUCUUUUUUCCUAUGAUUUCAGAAAAAGAAGUAAAGACCCCUGGUAAAGCAAGUGAGUAAAUACCAAUGCCUUGUGCCUGUGCUUGAUUCAAAUGAGAGAUACGGAUGUAGCAUGGUGGUGCUCUGUCUAACCGUCUGAUGCAUUUACUAUUUAGGAUUAUCUCAGUGUGUGGUCUCAGACUAGUAAAAUCCUAAUGUAAUGCGUAAAACAUUUACUGCUACGGUAGUCUGGAAGUGGGAAUCAUAUACAUGUGAUUUUUUUAUGAUUUCAUAUGUACACACCAUUUAUACAAUUGAUGUGAUGUUGAUCAUAUGCAAAUAUGAUUUUUAUUAAUUAGCUACUGUAGCAACAGUUUCCCUUGCGAUUUCACAUUACAAUGAUCAUAUGUUUACCAUUUCUAGAGAUUGGGGCAGAAUCUUCUUUAGCUUCUACUCAGGACUAAGGUAGUAGCUAUAUAUUCCACUCCACUGGUCAACUCAAAAGAGAAUAGGAUUCUCUCUCUCUACUGUUAAUUGCUCUGUGGUGAUUUAUUGGGAGUAAAAUAAUCGUGUUGAUGAUGUGCUAUUAAACACUGUUCACGGAGCCAGCAUUUAGUUAUUGAGAGAGAUUAUGCCUAGUGAGAAAUAGUAAUAACACUUACUGGAUUUUAAACCAAAUGCAUUAAAGACAUUAGGGGGAUGUUCUAUUGAGUGAACCAGUGGAUUCUUGAUAUUCUAGUCCCAUCCCUUCCUGACCCAUCUUCCAAGUCACUCUCUCCUCGCGUCCUGUGUGAUUUGCCUCACACCGUACCCUGAACCUUAAGCAAUACGACAUGUACUGUAUGUAUAAUAUUAUAGCAAAACUGACUGAUUUAUAUAUAUUUUAAGACCUGCAGCAGUUGCUUUCUUUUAAAUAGGGGUUGUAGUCAUGCUUGUGCUCCCUGCAUGACCUUCCCUCUCUCUACACUUAGGUUAUGGUAAACAAACAUACAGUACAGGAUAUGUACCAUGUAUUUUUCUUAUAUGUUUUAUAUGGGCAUACUGUAUAUGGUGGAAACAUAUAUGCCCAUAUAUGCUUAUAUAUGUAUCCACACAUAUACUGUAAGUGGCAGCACAAUUAAGUAGUACCCACAAAACACCAGUCUCAACGUCAACAGUGAAGAGGCGACUCUGGGAUGCUGGCCUUCUAGGCAGAGUUCCUCUGUCCAGUGUCUUUGUUCUUUUACCCAUCUUAAACUUUUCUUUUCAUUGGCCAGUCUGAGAUAUGGCUUUUUCUUUGCAACUCUGCCUAGAAGGUCAGCAUCCCGGAGUCGUCUCUUCACUGUUGACGUUGAGACUGGUGUUUUGCGGGUACUAUUUAAUGAAGCUGCCAAUUGAGGACUUGUGAGGUGUCUUUUCCAGCUACAAUAGUCAUUUACAACAUUAACAAUAUCUACAUUGUAAUUCUGAUCAAUUUGAUGUUAUUGUAAUGGACAAAAAAUGUGACCCCAAACUUUUGAACGGUAGUGUAUGUCUCAUACAGUAUAUGUUGAAAUAUACAAGAAUUGGCCCUUUUCAUAUAUGUGACAUAUAUUUCUGCCUUAUAUUCACAUACAGUACCAGUCAAAAGUUUGGACACCUACUCAUUCCUGGGUUUUUCUUUAUAUUUACUAUUUUCUACAUUGUAGAAUAAUAGUGACAACAUCAAAACUAUGAAAUAACAC
Molecule: long non-coding RNA, 3521 nt
Organism: Oncorhynchus mykiss (rainbow trout)
Lineage: Eukaryota; Metazoa; Chordata; Actinopteri; Salmoniformes; Salmonidae
Source: Ensembl